GGUAUCAGAAGUGCGAAUGCUGACAUAAGUAACGAUAAAGCGGGUGAAAAGCCCGCUCGCCGGAAGACCAAGGGUUCCUGUCCAACGUUAAUCGGGGCAGGGUGAGUCGACCCCUAAGGCGAGGCCGAAAGGCGUAGUCGAUGGGAAACGGGUUAAUAUUCCCGUACUUGGUGUUACUGCGAAGGGGGGACGGAGAAGGCUAUGUUGGCCGGGCGACGGUUGUCCCGGUUUAAGCGUGUAGGUGUGUGUUCCAGGUAAAUCCGGUUCACUUUAACACUGAGGCGUGAUGACGAGGCACUACGGUGCUGAAGCAACAAAUGCCCUGCUUCCAGGAAAAGCCUCUAAGCAUCAGGUAACAUCAAAUCGUACCCCAAACCGACACAGGUGGUCAGGUAGAGAAUACCAAGGCGCUUGAGAGAACUCGGGUGAAGGAACUAGGCAAAAUGGUGCCGUAACUUCGGGAGAAGGCACGCUGACACGUAGGUGAAGUGAUUUACUCACGGAGCUGAAGUCAGUCGAAGAUACCAGCUGGCUGCAACUGUUUAUUAAAAACACAGCACUGUGCAAACACGAAAGUGGACGUAUACGGUGUGACGCCUGCCCGGUGCCGGAAGGUUAAUUGAUGGGGUCAGCGCAAGCGAAGCUCCUGAUCGAAGCCCCGGUAAACGGCGGCCGUAACUAUAACGGUCCUAAGGUAGCGAAAUUCCUUGUCGGGUAAGUUCCGACCUGCACGAAUGGCGUAAUGAUGGCCAGGCUGUCUCCACCCGAGACUCAGUGAAAUUGAACUCGCUGUGAAGAUGCAGUGUACCCGCGGCAAGACGGAAAGACCCCGUGAACCUUUACUAUAGCUUGACACUGAACAUUGAGCCUUGAUGUGUAGGAUAGGUGGGAGGCUUUGAAGUGUGGACGCCAGUCUGCAUGGAGCCGACCUUGAAAUACCACCCUUUAAUGUUUGAUGUUCUAACGUGGACCCGUAAUCCGGGUUGCGGACAGUGUCUGGUGGGUAGUUUGACUGGGGCGGUCUCCUCCUAAAGAGUAACGGAGGAGCACGAAGGUUGGCUAAUCCUGGUCGGACAUCAGGAGGUUAGUGCAAUGGCAUAAGCCAGCUUGACUGCGAGCGUGACGGCGCGAGCAGGUGCGAAAGCAGGUCAUAGUGAUCCGGUGGUUCUGAAUGGAAGGGCCAUCGCUCAACGGAUAAAAGGUACUCCGGGGAUAACAGGCUGAUACCGCCCAAGAGUUCAUAUCGACGGCGGUGUUUGGCACCUCGAUGUCGGCUCAUCACAUCCUGGGGCUGAAGUAGGUCCCAAGGGUAUGGCUGUUCGCCAUUUAAAGUGGUACGCGAGCUGGGUUUAGAACGUCGUGAGACAGUUCGGUCCCUAUCUGCCGUGGGCGCUGGAGAACUGAGGGGGGCUGCUCCUAGUACGAGAGGACCGGAGUGGACGCAUCACUGGUGUUCGGGUUGUCAUGCCAAUGGCACUGCCCGGUAGCUAAAUGCGGAAGAGAUAAGUGCUGAAAGCAUCUAAGCACGAAACUUGCCCCGAGAUGAGUUCU
Molecule: ribosomal RNA, 1551 nt
Filed under: Salmonella enterica
Lineage: Bacteria; Pseudomonadati; Pseudomonadota; Gammaproteobacteria; Enterobacterales; Enterobacteriaceae
Description: bacterial LSU rRNA
Rfam family: Bacterial large subunit ribosomal RNA
Source: RNAcentral